RNAcentral lists this ribosomal RNA (497 nucleotides) under uncultured bacterium. RNAcentral describes it as "partial 16S ribosomal RNA". It matches the Rfam family "Bacterial small subunit ribosomal RNA", at positions 29 to 507 of the family's 1533-position model. The record is from RNAcentral.
AGUGAACGCUGGCGGCAGGCCUAAUACAUGCAAGUCGAACGGCCGCACGGUAAGCUUUCUCCCCUACUGUUAGCGGCUGACGGGUGGGUAACGCAUACAUAACCUACCUAUAUUACUUGGGGAACUUCGUGAGACAACAGCUGCUACCACCUCAUACGUUCUACGGCAUAAAUCAGAAGUUAAACACAGUUUGCCUGACACUUUUAGAUGGUGUCGUGCUGCAUUAGCUACUUGGUAAGGGAACGGCCUACCAAGGCAACGAUGCAUAGCUGACCUGAUAGGAUGAUCAGCCACACUGGAACUGAGACACGGUCCAGACUCCUACGGGAGGCAGCAGUGGGGAAUAUUGGACAAUGGGCGCAAGCCUGAUCCAGCAAUACCGCGUGAGUGAAGAAGGCCUUCGGGUUGUAAAGCCCUUUUGUUGGGAAAGAAAAGCAGCAGGUGAAUACCCCGCUGUUCUGACGGUACCCAAAGAAUAAGCACCGGCUAACUUCGUG